CCUCCUACUGGGCGGGUGGGUCCCCCUUCCUUCCUCUCCCCCCUCAUCCCAGGGGGACUGAAGGAGGAGGGCUGGAGGGCGGGAAAGGAGAAUGGGCAGGAGCGGAGCGCAGAAGCUCGGUGGGAGCAGAGCAGGAUCAAUCGGGAUGAGAGUGGGAUCGGGCGAGAAGGAGCUCCCAAGGCCACCCCACCACCCACCCAGGACCCCCUCCCAAGGCCCCCCGAGAGCGAGAGGCGGCGUGGAAGAGCACCCCGAGAGACGCUGGAUAGAAAACCGACACAAAUUCAAGUCCAUGUGAAAUUUUCUCCUUUUUUUUUGGCUGUUUUUUUUUUUCUUUUUUUAUUAUUAUUAUCAUUAUUAUUACUCUCUCCUGUCACGCUUUCGGGGGGAGGGGGCGUCCGGUUUACAAGAAGCAGACGGGGCCGAUGUCGAUGCCGAAUUCCUGGUCUGGGGCGCCGACGUCCAUAGGAGCCAAAUCAAUGAUGGGAAGGCGAGAGGUCUUCGUCGUCUUGUACUCGAUGACUGUCUUGCCCCAUGCACCAGUGUGACUCUGUGGGGACACCACAGUCAUCCCCAUCCCCAAAAGACGUUCCACCACCCUGCCAGGACCCCCCAUCCCUCAGCACCCACCGUGCAGCCAUCCUCAGUGACACCGUAGGUGAAGCGGCUGUUGCCUUCAGCCCUGAUCUCGAUCUCGUUGGCGCCUUGGAGUAGAAGAGCCUUCUUCAGGUUGCCGGUGUCCUGGUCCAUGUAGGCAACACUGUUCUUGCAGUGGUAGGUGAUGUUUUGGGCGGCUUCAGUGGACAUGAGGCGCAGGAAGGUCAGCUGGAUGGCAACAUCAGCGGGGUUGGAGCCCUCACCGCCGUACUCAAACUGUGGGAGAAGAGAAAUCGGUCACCGUGGAGGUCGCCCAGCCUGGUUGGCCCCUCACCUCCUGGCCCCCCUGCUCACCUGGAAGCCGUCGCUCAUCGUCUCGCCGAACCAGAUGUGCUUCUUCUCCUUGGGGUUUUUGCUGAGCACCAGCGGAGCCAGGAGGACCCUGUGGGACAGGAGAAAGGGUGAGCGUGGCCAUCCUGCCUGGGCAGAGUCUCCCCCUCCAGCCCCGACCCUCAUCCCUGUAAGGAACCCAAUGUCAGUGGGGACUCCCCGUUCCCCCCAGGAUGCUGGAUAUCACGUCUCAUCCAGGAACUUACUCGUGGACCGGCAGGACCAGAAGCACCAGAAGGACCUUGUUCACCAGGAGAGCCCUGUGCCAAGCAAGGAGGAAGAGGAAGAGGUGCCAUCAGCAUCUCGUGCUGUCUCCAGGACAUAGGGCAGCACUUGGUGCCACCAUCACCCCACAGGACUUACGGGAGGACCAGGUGGGCCCUGGAGACCGGAGAAACCUCUGUGACCCUUCAUGCCUCUGUCACCCUGUUCACCAGUUUCACCUUUGUCACCACGGGGACCUUGUGGACCCUGGAGAAGGAGGAGGAGGAAGAAGACAUGUUGAGUGAGAUCCGGACCAACCAUUGCCCCCAUACCUGUGGGGAUGCAGAGACAGCAAGAAGGAUGGAGGAGAACAUCUACUUACAGCAGGACCACGAGCACCAGCAGGACCAGGGGGACCAGCAGGACCUUGGGGACCCUGGCACAGGAGAGAAGG
Molecule: long non-coding RNA, 1645 nt
Organism: Myiozetetes cayanensis
Lineage: Eukaryota; Metazoa; Chordata; Aves; Passeriformes; Tyrannidae
Exons: 3
Source: RefSeq, a predicted model, not a curated record